Molecule: ribosomal RNA, 543 nt
Filed under: Salmonella enterica subsp. enterica serovar Typhimurium
Lineage: Bacteria; Pseudomonadati; Pseudomonadota; Gammaproteobacteria; Enterobacterales; Enterobacteriaceae
Description: partial 23S ribosomal RNA
Rfam family: Bacterial large subunit ribosomal RNA
Source: RNAcentral
CCCCGGUAAACGGCGGCCGUAACUAUAACGGUCCUAAGGUAGCGAAAUUCCUUGUCGGGUAAGUUCCGACCUGCACGAAUGGCGUAAUGAUGGCCAGGCUGUCUCCACCCGAGACUCAGUGAAAUUGAACUCGCUGUGAAGAUGCAGUGUACCCGCGGCAAGACGGAAAGACCCCGUGAACCUUUACUAUAGCUUGACACUGAACAUUGAGCCUUGAUGUGUAGGAUAGGUGGGAGGCUUUGAAGUGUGGACGCCAGUCUGCAUGGAGCCGACCUUGAAAUACCACCCUUUAAUGUUUGAUGUUCUAACGUGGACCCGUAAUCCGGGUUGCGGACAGUGUCUGGUGGGUAGUUUGACUGGGGCGGUCUCCUCCUAAAGAGUAACGGAGGAGCACGAAGGUUGGCUAAUCCUGGUCGGACAUCAGGAGGUUAGUGCAAUGGCAUAAGCCAGCUUGACUGCGAGCGUGACGGCGCGAGCAGGUGCGAAAGCAGGUCAUAGUGAUCCGGUGGUUCUGAAUGGAAGGGCCAUCGCUCAACGGAUAAA